GCAUGGAUUUGGAUUUAUGGUGGGUCCCAAUCCAUGGGCUUUCCAUAGUGUACCCCAUGCUACAUUAACCUGCCUCCCCGAACCAUUGGCUGGCCUGGCUUGCUGUAGUGCCAGCCACUGAUGUGGGUGGCACAUGU
This is a small nucleolar RNA of Podarcis muralis (Common wall lizard), 137 nucleotides long. Ensembl annotates it as small nucleolar RNA SNORA42/SNORA80 family. Lineage: Eukaryota; Metazoa; Chordata; Lepidosauria; Squamata; Lacertidae. The record is from Ensembl.